AGGAUGAACGCUGGCGGCGUGCUUAACACAUGCAAGUCGAACGAUGAACCUCACUUGUGGGGGGAUUAGUGGCGAACGGGUGAGUAACACGUGAGUAACCUGCCCUUGACUCUGGGAUAAGCCUGGGAAACUGGGUCUAAUACCGGAUAUGACUCCUCAUCGCAUGGUGGGGGGUGGAAAGCUUUUUGUGGUUUUGGAUGGACUCGCGGCCUAUCAGCUUGUUGGUGAGGUAAUGGCUCACCAAGGCGACGACGGGUAGCCGGCCUGAGAGGGUGACCGGCCACACUGGGACUGAGACACGGCCCAGACUCCUACGGGAGGCAGCAGUGGGGAAUAUUGCACAAUGGGCGAAAGCCUGAUGCAGCGACGCCGCGUGAGGGAUGACGGCCUUCGGGUUGUAAACCUCUUUCAGUAGGAAGAAGCGAAAGUGACGGUACCUGCAGAAGAAGCGCCGGCUAACUACGUGCCAGCAGCCGC
RNAcentral lists this ribosomal RNA (477 nucleotides) under uncultured bacterium. RNAcentral describes it as "SSU rRNA". It matches the Rfam family "Bacterial small subunit ribosomal RNA", at positions 26 to 518 of the family's 1533-position model. The record is from RNAcentral.